UACAGAGGUCUCAAGCGUUGUUCGGAUUCAUUGGGCGUAAAGGGUGCGUAGGCGGCGCGGUAAGUCGGAUGUGAAAUCUCGGAGCUUAACUCCGAAACUGCAUUCGAUACUGCCGUGCUUGAGGACUGGAGAGGAGACUGGAAUUUACGGUGUAGCGGUGAAAUGCGCAGAUAUCGGGAGGAACACCGGUGGCGAAGGCGGUUCUCUGGGCCUGACCUGACGCUGAGGAGCGAAAGCGUGUGGAGCGAACAGG
Molecule: ribosomal RNA, 253 nt
Filed under: uncultured bacterium
Lineage: Bacteria
Description: partial 16S ribosomal RNA
Rfam family: Bacterial small subunit ribosomal RNA
Source: RNAcentral